GAACGCUAUUUACAGGCUUAACACAUGCAAGUCGAGGGGCAGCAUGGUCUUAGCUUGCUAAGGCCGAUGGCGACCGGCGCACGGGUGAGUAACACGUAUCCAACCUGCCGUCUACUCUUGGACAGCCUUCUGAAAGGAAGAUUAAUACAAGAUGGCAUCAUGAGUCCACAUGUUCACAUGAUUAAAGGUAUUCCGGUAGACGAUGGGGAUGCGUUCCAUUAGAUAGUAGGCGGGGUAACGGCCCACCUAGUCUUCGAUGGAUAGGGGUUCUGAGAGGAAGGUCCCCCACAUUGGAACUGAGACACGGUCCAAACUCCUACGGGAGGCAGCAGUGAGGAAUAUUGGUCAAUGGGCGAGAGCCUGAACCAGCCAAGUAGCGUGAAGGAUGACUGCCCUAUGGGUUGUAAACUUCUUUUAUAAAGGAAUAAAGUCGGGUAUGGAUACCCGUUUGCAUGUACUUUAUGAAUAAGGAUCGGCUAACUCCGUGCCAGCAGCCGCGGUAAUACGGAGGAUCCGAGCGUUAUCCGGAUUUAUUGGGUUUAAAGGGAGCGUAGAUGGAUGUUUAAGUCAGUUGUGAAAGUUUGCGGCUCAACCGUAAAAUUGCAGUUGAUACUGGAUAUCUUGAGUGCAGUUGAGGCAGGCGGAAUUCGUGGUGUAGCGGUGAAAUGCUUAGAUAUCACGAAGAACUCCGAUUGCGAAGGCAGCCUGCUAAGCUGCAACUGACAUUGAGGCUCGAAAGUGUGGGUAUCAAACAGGAUUAGAUACCCUGGUAGUCCACACGGUAAACGAUGAAUACUCGCUGUUUGCGAUAUACAGCAAGCGGCCAAGCGAAAGCGUUAAGUAUUCCACCUGGGGAGUACGCCGGCAACGGUGAAACUCAAAGGAAUUGACGGGGGCCCGCACAAGCGGAGGAACAUGUGGUUUAAUUCGAUGAUACGCGAGGAACCUUACCCGGGCUUAAAUUGCAGAUGAAUUACGGUGAAAGCCGUAAGCCGCAAGGCAUCUGUGAAGGUGCUGCAUGGUUGUCGUCAGCUCGUGCCGUGAGGUGUCGGCUUAAGUGCCAUAACGAGCGCAACCCUUGUUGUCAGUUACUAACAGGUUCCGCUGAGGACUCUGACAAGACUGCCAUCGUAAGAUGUGAGGAAGGUGGGGAUGACGUCAAAUCAGCACGGCCCUUACGUCCGGGGCUACACACGUGUUACAAUGGGGGGUACAGAGAGCCGCUACCACGCGAGUGGAUGCCAAUCCCAAAAACCUCUCUCAGUUCGGACUGGAGUCUGCAACCCGACUCCACGAAGCUGGAUUCGCUAGUAAUCGCGCAUCAGCCACGGCGCGGUGAAUACGUUCCCGGGCCUUGUACACACCGCCCGUCAAGCCAUGGGAGCCGGGGGUACCUGAAGUGCGUAACCGCGAGGAGCGCCCUAGGGUAAAACUGGUGAUUG
RNAcentral lists this ribosomal RNA (1442 nucleotides) under uncultured organism. RNAcentral's name for it is "SSU rRNA". It matches the Rfam family "Bacterial small subunit ribosomal RNA". The record is from RNAcentral.